GGGGAAUAUUGGGCAAUGGAGGCAACUCUGACCCAGCCAUGCCGCGUGAGUGAAGAAGGUUUUCGGAUUGUAAAGCUCUUUCGGAUGUGACGAUGAUGACGGUAGCAUCUAAAGAAGCCCCGGCUAACUUCGUGCCAGCAGCUGCGGUAAUACGAAGGGGGCGAGCGUUGUUCGGAAUUACUGGGCGUAAAGGGUGUGUAGGCGGUUAUGUAAGAUAGCGGUGAAAUCCCGGGGCUUAACCUCGGAAUAGCCGUUAUAACUAUGUAGCUAGAGUUAUGGAGAGGAUAGCGGAAUACCCAGUGUAGAGGUGAAAUUCGUAGAUAUUGGGUAGAACACCGGUGGCGAAGGCGGCUAUCUGGCCAUAUACUGACGCUGAGGCACGAAAGCAUGGGGAUCAAACAGGAUUAGAUACCCUGGUAGUCCAUGCUGUAAACGAUGAAUGCUGGUUGUCGGCUUUAGGGUCGGUGACGAAGUUAACGCGAUAAGCAUUCCGCCUGGGGAGUACGGUCGCAAGAUUAAAACUCAAAGGAAUUGACGGGGACCCGCACAAGCGGUGGAGCAUGUGGUUUAAUUCGAUGCAACGCGAAGAACCUUACCAACUCUUGACAUCCUUAUCGGGGGGCACAGAGAUGAGCCCUUUCAGUUAGGCUGGAUAAGUGACAGAUGCUGCAUGGCUGUCGUCAGCUCGUGUCGUGAGAUGUUGGGUUAAGUCCCGCAACGAGCGCAACCCCUGCUAUCAGUUGCCAGCGAGUAAAGUUGGGCACUCUGAUAGGACUGCCGGUGACAAGCCGGAGGAAGGUGGGGAUGACGUCAAGUCAUCAUGGCUCUUACGAGUUGGGCUACACACGUGCUACAAUGGUAACUACAGAGGGGAGCGAGACCGCGAGGUUGAGCCAAUCUUAAAAAGUUAUCUCAGUUCGGAUUGUUCUCUGCAACUCGAGAACAUGAAGUUGGAAUCGCUAGUAAUCGCGGAUCAGCAUGCCGCGGUGAAUACGUUCCCG
Molecule: ribosomal RNA, 1001 nt
Filed under: uncultured bacterium
Lineage: Bacteria
Description: bacterial SSU rRNA
Rfam family: Bacterial small subunit ribosomal RNA
Source: RNAcentral